This is a non-coding RNA of Epinephelus moara (kelp grouper), 1322 nucleotides long. NCBI's taxonomy places the organism in Eukaryota, Metazoa, Chordata, Actinopteri, Perciformes, Serranidae. The record is from the annotation of a RefSeq genome assembly.
CUCAGUCAGACUGAACAGAAACUGAAGUGACUGCUGCAGCUGGAAGCUACUGCAGAGACUGAUACACUUCACUGAGGACACACACACACACACACACACACACACAGAUCAUUUCUAGUGUUCAUUGUGUGUCCAGCAGUUUUCCUCCUGAUGUUCAAUCAGUCCACCUCAAGCAGCUGAAAGUUUCCUCAGAUGAAGGGAACAGUUUCAGUGAAGAAGCCCAAUCAGACCAUUAAACUCACAACAACAGCAGAGUCAGCUCCACUGAUGUAGAGACACAAACCAACGUCACAACAUGUGAAACAUCAGUGUCCACACAUCACAUUAAAUCCCAUUUGAAGCUUCUUAGCUGUAAUGCAACAAAUCCUUCUCGAGGCAGAAAUACUUACACUGUCAUAAACACAAUGCAUUCAAUGUCACAUGUCAUACAGUACAUGUCACUGAACAUAGUGUGGAAGAAGUCACAUUAGGUUUGGACUCAAACAGCACACCAAGAUCACCAGCACUGUCCUCUGCAUUGAGUGUCUGAGAGUCUAAGUUGCUCCAACUAUGAGAACUUUGGUCUUUUUGCUUUUCAGCUGCUGAAAUAUUUUGUGUUUACUUUCAAAACCUGAUAAUGAACAGAACAAUCAACCAUGUUUAUUGACUAGAUGAACACCAUGUUGCUCUUUGUUCACAGCAGAAGAGAAGCGAGGGCCUGCCUGAAGAUUCCUGCUAAACACAUUUAGCAGCAAAAAAAGCCUGCCAGCUAACGUACCAUAUAACAAAGGAGCAUUAAACCGUUAAGAGGCCAGUGUUGAUCAGUGGCUGUCCAGGCCUUUCACAACCACUGACACGCCGGCAGCACAAUGAUGAUGUCACUGAUUCUACUGCUGGCCACCCUGGGGCUCCUUGUUCAGGAUUCAUCAGGAGAAAUCAUCGUGAGUCAACCCCCUGUCUCUCGGACUGUCUCUGUCAGUUGUAACACCAGUGUAAAUGUGGGGGGUUACCUCAACUGGUACUUUCAAAAACCUGGAGAAGCUCCUAAACUCCUGAUUUACGGAGCUGCACACCGUCAGUCUGGAGUUUCAGAUCGUUUUAGUGGAAGUGGAUCUGGAGCUGACUUCACUCUGACCAUCAGAGGAGUUCAGGCUGAAGAUUCAGGAGUUUACUACUGUCAGCAUGGCCAUUACGGGACCCCGUUCACACAGUGAAAAAGCAUCAUAUAAAAACCUCCCUCAGUCAGACUGAACAGAAACUGAAAUGACUGCUGCAGCUGGAAGCUACUGCAGAGACUGAUACACUUCACUGAGGACACACACACACACACACACACACACACA